CUAAACAUACAUUAUGACGUCACAUUAAUAAUGAUGUCAUUGUAAUAAUCAUAUUAAACAUAGAUUAUGCAAGAGCUAAAUCUGUCUAUUGCAGGUUUUUCUUUAGGCCUAAAAUGUUAUCUAAAUUAUUAAUUACACAUUUAUUAACAAAACAAGACCAUAAUCGACUCUCGAUGGCAUCGGAUACUCGAGAUUUUAACUAGAUUAGAACGGUUCGCCAUUUAAAAAUUUAAUGUAAAAUUGGGAAAGCGAGGCUAAGUCCCGAUUUCAAUAUUUCUUUUUUCAUCAUCUAAUUUUGAAUUAUUAUAGCAAGAAUGGCCAACUCUUUAUUAAAACUCUUAACUAAUGUAUCUUUAACUAUUCCCCAGAUUCAAAAGAAAAUACAUCCAAAACAGUUUUCUGUGAACACUGUGGGGUUCUUCAGAAGCAGAUAAGAGAAUUAGAAGCGAAGCUGGAUAAAGCCAACAAUAAAUUGGAAGAUAGUCGAUAUGUUGAUAUACCUGUCAAUACCUACACAGACACCGUAUUGCCCUGAGCCUGUAGAGUUAAUAAAAGAGCAGCAGAGAAAUAUAAAAUGAUUGAACUCUGUCAUGGGUAUGGUGUGUUCAUAUAUCCAUCAGAUCUCGUCCACGUCAAGAAAUUAUUCGAGAAAACAAAGAGUGGACAAUCCGUGACUCGUCACCUUCUGAGCGUCAUGUUUACAAAAGAAGAGCUAUGUUUUGGUUCAGUAUCAAAAGAUCCUAAACCUGGUCUGGCGUCAUUGGAUGCAACCGUAGUUCAAGCCAUUAGAGAUUACUGUGUAGCAAUGUCAAAGGACAAGAACGUGGCCAUUAAUCAAGCUCUUCACAACAAAUUAACCACGUACAGAUAUAAGGCGAGGUGUAGGGCAACAAGUCCUGAAUACUGAUCAUUGACAGUGCUUAUCUAGAUGAAAUUAUGGAUGACGAAACCCCCGUGCUUAUUGAAGGAGUCAAGUCGCUAACUAACUCAAUAUCAUCCAGUCUUCGACAAUGCAAACAGAAACGAUUGAUGUUUCAGUCAAAAUGAAAAUAUUAACAUUGGCACUUGAAUCGCGUGUAGAAUGCUUCGGGUACCAUUUGCAUUAAGGGACUCGAUGAAGGAGACUUAAUAUAUCCCACGUAGAAGAAUAUCACCUUUUAAAUUCAGACCCUUCGCGUAUUUCGUCAAACAUAACUGAUUAUAAAUUACAGUAUAAUAGAAACGAUUGAAUGUAAAUCAGGUUAUAUAUAUUCAUAAUACAUUAUUAUUUGUUGCGAUCUAUUUGUGUCCAUUACUGGGUGCCACAGAAUAGAGAUUUAGCUCUUUCUGGGUUGAUUGCUUAUUAUAUUCAAAUACUAGAUUGGUGGGGAAAACCCGUUCUUAUUUAAUCAAGAUGCUGAGUUGGUGGAGAGAUUUAAGGCCAAGAGUAGCAGAAAGAUAUCAGUAGAAUAUACCACAAGUUCCAAAAUACCGAUUAUUGAUAGUGCUUUUAUUGCUGGGUUUGUGGGGGAAACACCGGAUUGUUUAGUUAAAGUGCUGGGUGGUGGGGGAUACCCUGUGAUUAUUUAAUAAAUAUACUGGGUUGGCGGGGAACCCCGGGCUUGUUUAGUUAAAAUAUUGGGUUGGUGGGGAAAUCCCGGGCCUGUUUAGUUAAAAUACUGGGUUGUUGAGGAAAAUAAAUUUAUCUUUAAAUUGAA
Molecule: long non-coding RNA, 1697 nt
Organism: Patella vulgata (common limpet)
Lineage: Eukaryota; Metazoa; Mollusca; Gastropoda; Patellidae
Exons: 4
Source: RefSeq, a predicted model, not a curated record